This 450-nucleotide ribosomal RNA is filed under the name uncultured bacterium. RNAcentral describes it as "partial 16S ribosomal RNA". It matches the Rfam family "Bacterial small subunit ribosomal RNA", at positions 354 to 796 of the family's 1533-position model. The record is from RNAcentral.
GUGGGGAAUAUUGGACAAUGGGCGAAAGCCUGAUCCAGCAAUGCCGCGUGCAGGAAGAAGGCCUUCGGGUUGUAAACUGCUUUUGUACGGAACGAAACGGUCCGGGUUAAUACCCUGGGCUAAUGACGGUACCGUAAGAAUAAGCACCGGCUAACUACGUGCCAGCAGCCGCGGUAAUACGUAGGGUGCAAGCGUUAAUCGGAAUUACUGGGCGUAAAGCGUGCGCAGGCGGUUUUGUAAGACAGGCGUGAAAUCCCCGGGCUCAACCUGGGAAUUGCGCUUGUGACUGCAAGGCUGGAGUGCGGCAGAGGGGGAUGGAAUUCCGCGUGUAGCAGUGAAAUGCGUAGAUAUGCGGAGGAACACCGAUGGCGAAGGCAAUCCCCUGGGCCUGCACUGACGCUCAUGCACGAAAGCGUGGGGAGCAAACAGGAUUAGAUACCCUGGUAGUCC